UUAUCGAAAAGAUUGUUCCAUUUUUUAAGAAAUUUUCUUUUCUGUCUGCCAAGAAGAAAAAUGAUUUUUCUAAAUUCAUUCAAAUUCUUGAUAUUCUUGUAAGUAAAAAUCCGUAUUCAUUUGAUAAUGUUAUACGCGUUAUGUCGCUUCGAAAUAAAAUGAACGGUGGCGGAAAGCGUAAAUACACAGAUGAACAAAUUAUGGCAAAAUUUAAUGCAUCAAAAACUAAAGAAUCCUCAGAGACUAUACGCCAAACGUGAUUGUGAUAUCAAUCAUGAUGAUAUAGUCCGACCUUCAUGGAGACAUGAAGAGUGAAGCGUAACUUACUUCACCUUUUCUUUCGACACAUCGAUUGAAAGGUAACAUUCAGAACGGUCCUAAGGUAGCGAAGUACCUUGUCGGGUAAGUUCCGACCCGCAUGAAUGGCGUAACGAGUUGGGCGCUGUCUUAAUGAUAUACUCAGUGAAGUUGUAGUACCGGUGAAAAUGCCGGUUACCCGCGACAGGACGGAAAGACCCCGUGCACCUUUACUAUAGCUUGGCAUUGAUUUUUGGAUUGAUCUAUGUAGGAUAGGCGGGAGACUUUGAAACUGAGGCGUCAGCCUUGGUGGAGUCACCCUUGAAAUACCGCCUUUAUCUGUUCGGAAAUCUAACUUCGAAUUCCCGUGAUCCGGGCGAAGGACAUUGUCUGGUGGGUAGUUUGACUGGGGUGGUCGCCUCCUAAAUUGUAACGGAGGCGUUCAAAGGUUCCCUCAUGACGAAUAGAAAUCGUCGGUAGAGCGCAAAAGUAGAAGGGAGCUUGACUGCGAGACAUACAGGUCGAGCAGGUGCGAAAGCAGGAUUUAGUGAUCCAGUGGUCCCGAAUGGAAGGGCCAUUGCUAAACGGAUAAAAGGUACGCCGGGGAUAACAGGCUGAUCUCCUCUAAGAGUCCAUAUCGACGAGGAGGUUUGGCACCUCGAUGUCGGCUCAUCACAUCCUGGAGCUGGAGAAGGUUCCAAGGGUUUGGCUGUUCGCCAAUUAAAGUGGUACGCGAGCUGGGUUCAGAACGUCGCGAGACAGUUCGGUCCUUAUCCGUCGUGGGCGUAGGAUACUUGAAGAGGGCUGUCCCUAGUACGAGAGGACCGGGAUGGGCGAACCUCUGGUGUACCAGUUGUCCCGCUAGGGGCAUCGCUGGGUAGCUACGUUCGGAAAGGAUAACCGCUGAAAGCAUCUAAGCGGGAAGCCCACCAUGAGAUAAGUAUUCCAUUCCGCCUCUGGCGGAGAGAGACCCCAUCAAGACUAGGUGGUUGAUAGGCCGGAAGUGUAAGGAUAGAAAUGUUUUCAGCUUACCGGUACUAACGGUCAAUUGCUUGACCAC
This 1357-nucleotide ribosomal RNA is filed under the name Phycisphaerae bacterium. Its description in RNAcentral is "partial 23S ribosomal RNA". It matches the Rfam family "Bacterial large subunit ribosomal RNA", at positions 1711 to 2925 of the family's 2925-position model. The record is from RNAcentral. Lineage: Bacteria; Pseudomonadati; Planctomycetota; Phycisphaerae.